CCUACGGGGGACAGCAGUGGGGAAUAUUGGGCAAUGGGCGCAAGCCUGACCCAGCAACGCCGCGUGAAUGAAGAAGGCUUUCGGGUUGUAAACUUCUUUUCUCAGGGACGAAGCAAGUGACGGUACCUGCGGAAUAAGCCACGGCUAACUACGUGCCAGCAGCCGCGGUAAUACGUAGGUGGCAAUCGUUAUCCGGAGUUACUGGGUGUAAAGGGCGUGUAGGCGGGACGGCAAGUCAGAUGUGAAAACCAUGGGCUCAACCUAUGGACUGCAUUUGAAACUGUAGUUCUUGAGUACUGGAGAGGCAGACGGAAUUCCUAGUGUAGCGGUGAAAUGCGUAGAGAUCAGGAGGAACACCAGUGGCGAAGGCGGUCUGCUGGACAGCAACUGACGCUGAGGCGCGAAAGCGUGGGGAGCAAACAGGAUUAGAUACCCCAGUAGUC
This 443-nucleotide ribosomal RNA is filed under the name uncultured bacterium. Its description in RNAcentral is "partial 16S ribosomal RNA". It matches the Rfam family "Bacterial small subunit ribosomal RNA", at positions 338 to 795 of the family's 1533-position model. The record is from RNAcentral.